UACGAAGGGGGCUAGCGUUGCUCGGAAUCACUGGGCGUAAAGGGCGCGUAGGCGGAUCUUUAAGUCGGGGGUGAAAGCCCGGGGCUCAACCCUGGAAUUGCCUUCGAUACUGGAGAUCUUGAGACCGGAAGAGGUAAGUGGAACUGCGAGUGUAGAGGUGAAAUUCGUAGAUAUUCGCAAGAACACCAGUGGCGAAGGCGGCUUACUGGUCCGGUUCUGACGCUGAGGCGCGAAAGCGUGGGGAGCAAACAGG
This 253-nucleotide ribosomal RNA is filed under the name uncultured bacterium. RNAcentral describes it as "partial 16S ribosomal RNA". It matches the Rfam family "Bacterial small subunit ribosomal RNA", at positions 524 to 776 of the family's 1533-position model. The record is from RNAcentral.